GUCGAACGGCAGCGGGGAGGAGCUUGCUUCUCUGCCGGCGAGUGGCGAACGGGUGAGUAAUACAUCGGAACGUGUCGAGAAGAGGGGGAUAACCACCCGAAAGGGUGGCUAAUACCGCAUAAAUUCUGAGGAAGAAAGCUGGGGACCUAGGAAUAGGCCUAGCGCUUUUUGAGCGGCCGAUGUCGGAUUAGCUAGUUGGUGAGGUAAAGGCUCACCAAGGCGAAGAUCUGUAGCGGGUCUGAGAGGAUGAUCCGCCACACUGGGACUGAGACACGGCCCAGACUCCUACGGGAGGCAGCAGUGGGGAAUUUUGGACAAUGGGGGCAACCCUGAUCCAGCCAUGCCGCGUGUAUGAAGAAGGCCUUAGGGUUGUAAAGUACUUUUGUUAGGGAAGAAAAGUCAGCUGUGAAUAAUGGCUGAUACUGACGGUACCUAAAGAAUAAGCACCGGCUAACUACGUGCCAGCAGCCGCGGUAAUACGUAGGGUGCGAGCGUUAAUCGGAAUUAUUGGGCGUAAAGCGAGUGUAGACGGUUAUUUAAGCCAGAUGUGAAAUACCCGAGCCUAACUUGGGAGGUGCAUAUGGAACUGGGUAGCUAGAGUGUGUCAGAGGGAGGUAGAACUCCACGUGUAGCAGUGAAAUGCGUAGAGAUGUGGAAGAAUACCGAUGGCGAAGGCAGCCUCCUGGGAUAACACUGACGUUGAGGCUCGAAAGCGUGGGGAGC
RNAcentral lists this ribosomal RNA (723 nucleotides) under uncultured Neisseriales bacterium. Its description in RNAcentral is "bacterial SSU rRNA". It matches the Rfam family "Bacterial small subunit ribosomal RNA", at positions 61 to 769 of the family's 1533-position model. The record is from RNAcentral. Lineage: Bacteria; Pseudomonadati; Pseudomonadota; Betaproteobacteria; Neisseriales.